This is a non-coding RNA of Pelobates cultripes (western spadefoot toad), 218 nucleotides long. The record is from the annotation of a GenBank genome assembly. NCBI's taxonomy places the organism in Eukaryota, Metazoa, Chordata, Amphibia, Anura, Pelobatidae.
CUGAAUUAUACACAGAACUGCUAGCUUUCGCCAACCUUCUGAGUCCUGGUUUUAAUAAUAUUCACAGAAGGAGCAGAACUUCGAUUAAGGUCACCUUUUAUGUUGUCAAUUGUAGAUUCCAGGGUCAACAUUCCACAGCAGGAAAGCUUUAGUUGUUUAGCGCAAUGUGCCUGAUAUUGUCCUUACCCAUCAAAUUUUUCACAACUUUGCGGUGAACA